RNAcentral lists this long non-coding RNA (265 nucleotides) under Carica papaya (papaya). RNAcentral's name for it is "long non-coding RNA (CPAP_LNC011482)". The record is from RNAcentral. Lineage: Eukaryota; Viridiplantae; Streptophyta; Magnoliopsida; Brassicales; Caricaceae.
UAAUUUGUGUUUCACUAUUUAGGGGCAGAGGGUGGAUAAGGGUUAGCGUGAUUUUAUCGUAUGGUUAUGAUUAAUACUUGGAUGACUCGAAAAGGUUCUGCAAAUUCAGCCCUAGUAGGAUGAUUCGGGGUUUUAGGUUGUUCAGUACGCUCUACGGAUGGUCUUCCUCGUGUCAUUCCUAAAAAAGAAAGGAAGACACGAGUUAGCGGUCUAAUCUUAAAAAAUGACUUAUUUCUUUCCUAGAUAUUCUAAAGGGCUCAUCUAC